Molecule: long non-coding RNA, 4337 nt
Organism: Pelmatolapia mariae (spotted tilapia)
Lineage: Eukaryota; Metazoa; Chordata; Actinopteri; Cichliformes; Cichlidae
Exons: 4
Source: RefSeq, a predicted model, not a curated record
CAUUCAUCACCACGACCAUCAUCGUUAUCUUCACCAAUCCGACCACAAAUUUAGUUAUCUUCAUCGCUGCCAUCAGGUUUUCUUUAUCAUCAUCAUCACAACUUUUACAGGCUCACUGUCAUAAUCAUCAUCAUCAUAACCACAAAUGGUUGUCUGUCAAUAGCAGUUGUCAUCAUCGUAACAAUAAAACACCACGCUCUAUUUUCAUCAUAGUCUUCAUCAUCAGCAACAUGAACUUAUCUUCAUCAUCAUUACUGUUACUAGAGAUGACCGACAUUACUAGAAUGACCAUUAGAGCCAGCGGCAAAAUCUUCCAGAUAAAAAACAGACAAAAAACUCCAAACUAGUUAUGAAGCAGCCCGAGCGGGUCUGGUUCCUGCUGCCUUGCAUCUUAUUUCUUAUUUCUCCUGGACGCGCUCUCUGUCGUGAGCGCGCCGUCACGUGGGAGGUCCCUUUAAGUUUCCAUCGACUGAGGCCUGAGCGUGUCACAUGGACAUGAUAUAAUGAAAAGGCAGGAACAGAGUGAGUGCGCUGGGCUCUUUGCUAAAGCAGAAGGGAGCAGAAAUGUACGCAGUCAUCUGCCGACAGUGUAGAGGGCCAGCGGGGCCGAGCCCAACCGAACGCUGCCGAUCUCGACCGGGCUGGGCCGAGCCGGACAGACUGCGCCUCAUCGGACGGGACCUCUGUGUUCGCCGUUGCACCUGCCAGCUGUGACACGCACUUUAAAAGAGGAGGAAAAUGUCGCCCGUGCGUGCGCGUAUUUCGCACAGUCCCGGAGCAAAGGAGGAGCGCCCUUCGGCUCUGCUGGAGACGAAUGCAUGCUGCAGACACCUUUUGGGCUUCAAAUCAGCAAACAGCACUGGAAUGACGCACCCCUGGCUAAAAGGCAGAAGCUGAAGAAGACCACAGCAGAGAGGCUGUGAUGUAACUACAGCAUUGGACUCAGCGCAGAUGGGAGCAGACGGACGGACGGAACGGCAGCGAGGAUGACAUCACUGUUACCCGUGGGAGCCUGGGCCUGUCAUUCUUGGUGUCACUUCCUGGGGGAGAAUAGAACAGGAAGCCAGAGCGAGAGCCGACAACGAGCGCUCCCCUCACCUCCACAAGGAAGCCUUUUUCCCCCGAGAGCAAAAUGUGUGUCCGUUUGUGUCCCUCGCUCACUCCUGCAUUCAUGGCGCAGAGGGCUGGUGCUGGUUCAGAAUUUAUGUAAGCCCUGAUUGUUUUCAUUUCCUUUGAGCUCAAGUCUGAGCCUUUUGCAACAAAUCCUUUGAAGAGCUUGUUAUUUUACACUUCAACGGUAGUUAAAAUAAGUCACAGUGGUGACUUUAUGGGUACGGAUGCAGUAAGCUGUGCCUCUGCAGGCUUUAUUUUGCUGCCCUGGGUCAGCAGUGUUUGGGGAAAAGCUCCGUUCGGAGGGAUUAAAAAGAGAGGAGGAUGGGUUUACAAACGUGGAGGCCACUGUGACGUCACCUGAUGGUGUUGGACUCUGGGUCGGGGUGAGGCUCGAUCCCUUGGCCAGUGCCACACUCUGCUUCUAUGCUGGAGCUUUCCCAUAUUGGACAAAAGGGUCGAGUGAUACAUUAAAGGUAAUCCUAACAAGAUUGGUUAGCAAGCUGCAUGUGUAGCUUGCAUGGCUCCAUCCAAUGGAUGCACAUAAUUUCUAAUUAGUCCUUUCGCUGAAUGGUGUAAGCCUCAGAUAUUUGUCAGGUAAUUCUGUUUAACUCCAAAAGGCUCCAAGUCCAGUUUGACUCCAGUCUGCACAGAGCCCUCAGUUAAACCUUCAACAUCCACUCGUGUUACCAGAUCAACAAUUAUUCAUAUGGCUAUUUGUUGAUAUUGUGUUACUGUUGUAAAAUGCAGGGACGUGGCUGUGGCUCAGAAACUACAGCAAGUCAUCAGGAAGAUCGAUGAGCUUCUCUUCCUGUUGAAGUGUUCUCAUAAGAUAAUGGCUGAAAUAAGUUAGUAAGCUUUGUUUAAAUGCCAGCUCAUCAUGAACUUUGAUUUUCUUUUUUAAUCAUGAGGCUUUGUGAUGAUUCAUGUCUGUGUUAAGGUGCUAACGUGGCUGAUUCAGAGCUGCUAAUGAGUCGAUGUGUUGUUCUACUUGUUUGUCUUCAUGCUCUAAAACGCUGCAUCCAACUGAGCAACUCAAAUGUAACCUGCUUAGUGCGUACACAGCAUCUUUGUACUAUUCAUCACUGUGCAGGCAUACAAAGCAGGCACACGUCCUGCUACCUGAAUAGUUUUUACACAAAUCCUGAACUCAGACUGAGCAGGACGCGCUGUGGUUCAGGCGCUGGCAGGCUCUGGUGAGUCUGUGUUUAAAGGCAAAGAAAGGAUGGAAAGAUGACUGCGACGCAAAAAUGAAAUUAAAAAUGUUCACGUUUUGGUCCCCGGGGCAUUAUUCCUGGCUGCCCUACUGUGGAUUUACUUCUGCCCUUUGACCUCUCUAACCAACACAAGUGCAUCAAAGCUGAGCCCGCCCUUUGAGGACCCGCAUGGGUGUUAUAGAUGUAAUGUCGCCCUCUUGUGCGUGAAUUUAAAAUUGCAGGAUUCAGGCUGCGUUUUUAAAUAAUAUGCAAAACACUGUCUGGUGAACGUCAGCACUUCUCAGUGUGAGAUCGUAACAUCGGAUGUGAGCAGCUGUUAGUUGACUCCGCCCUCCAAAGCCCCCGCCUUUCUGCAGACAGCGUAAAGACUUUGUAGCCUGGACACACCUCUGAUCAUCUGACACCCAUCUUUCAAACACCUGGAGGGCCGCUGGGACAAUGCAUGUACUGUUAGAUUUGUUGUCAUGACGACCUUGUUGGUUAUGUAAGCGCUGGGCUCUGGUUCCCACAAACAGUGGUGCACGCAGAUCUUUGUGCUGUGACACUAGAAACCACACACACAGUCACAGUUUGUACAUUCCUCCAGCUGCUCACAUGUCACCCUGCAGUGUCUACAACGAGCCAUUUAACCCUCAGUGAUGAUCCGUAACCCUGUGCCAGCAGCACGUGUGCUUAAGGUGAGGGCUGUGGCCGACUCAGCGCAGAUACUUUGUUGCAGUCUAACAUCAAGAAUUUGGGUGGCACAAUUUCUUUCCAGUAAUUCAGCAAAUUUGUCUCAGUUCCCUCCAAAACUGAAGUGAGCUCGCUGGUUUUCUUGGAUUUUUGAUGAUUUCCUGAGCCACAGUUUCUCUGAUUGGCUGUUAGCUUCACAACUCCUCCAGUCUGUAUGUUGAGAUGUCAUGUGUGCGACAGGCACUAGUGCUAUAGUGAUGCAGUUGGUUAAACUAGCAGGUUCCUCUGUGUAACCUCGAUUUAAUCCAAAGAUUUCGUGACCCUAAAGCAGACUCACAUUUAUCAGCUUCUCUGUUGCUCAGGUGCUUCUCUUCACACGCUCUGUCUCUGUGGCAACACCCUGGAAAUGCUUCUGCUGUGGACCCACAACAAUAAAUGUGUGUGUAGAGGUACCCAUGUGUCCGUCUGUACUGAUGGAGCUGAUGUGUCACAUAGAUUUGGCUCUGUAAAGUUGAAUGACGUUGAGCAUACUCAUAUCCAUCCAUUCACGUUGGUUUUCCUCUCUUACGUCAUGUGGUUCUGUUUUUCUUCUUCCUGUAGUGUCUGUGGAAGGUGGCAGGUCGUGAGCGUAGACUGACGUAGACUAGAGUGAGUGCUCGUCAUUAUGUUUGCGAGCACCGUGCUUCCAAACGCCGUUCACAGCAGGCUCUACGCAUUGCUCCUGUGGCAGGCGUCCCUGUCUUAUGCUGUCAGCCUCACUUUUCAUGUGACGUCUGUUCUGUUUGAAUUCAUCUUCGUUGCUGGAAGCAAGUAUUCAGGUGCCAGCUGCUCCUGAUGCUGGACUGGCAUGGCAACAGCAGAGAUAACCCUGAUGAGCAGAUGUAUGUGUGUGUAUUAUAACAGUGGUUUUUAGUAGGCUGGACUAACUGGUUUGUAUUUCCUUGCUGGAAUAAUAGCUGACCCUGGUUUGAGCUAACUUGUGUUUAUCUACAAGCAGCUACAGGUGAAAAACAAACGCACUGAAAACUUGUCUCAGCUUCAAGGUGAGCAUUUGAACCAACUACCAAUGAGAGUGCAGGAUACAGGUGACUGAUAUAUGACUGGUUGGUAAAUAUGUUACAGGGUCACCUAGGCAACUGGAGCCUGGAAUGUCCGCUAGCAACCAAUCGUCAGCUUCAAAGCAAUGCACGACAGCUCGCUGACUUCCUGUGUGGAUUAUAGCUCAUGUUCACAUGCAGUGAAAGCUGAUUUUGAUGGUUGUCUUAAAGUUUGCAGGUGAAUGUUUGCAGGUAUCCACACAGACUUCAGACAGGCCUGCCUUUCCUAAAUUUUAGCAUC